GACGAACGCUGGCGGCGUGCUUAACACAUGCAAGUCGAACGGAAAGGCCCUGCUUUUGUGGGGUGCUCGAGUGGCGAACGGGUGAGUAACACGUGAGUAACCUGCCCUUGACUUUGGGAUAACUUCAGGAAACUGGGGCUAAUACCGGAUAGGAGCUCCUGCUGCAUGGUGGGGGUUGGAAAGUUUCGGCGGUUGGGGAUGGACUCGCGGCUUAUCAGCUUGUUGGUGGGGUAGUGGCUUACCAAGGCUUUGACGGGUAGCCGGCCUGAGAGGGUGACCGGCCACAUUGGGACUGAGAUACGGCCCAGACUCCUACGGGAGGCAGCAGUGGGGAAUAUUGCACAAUGGGCGGAAGCCUGAUGCAGCAACGCCGCGUGCGGGAUGACGGCCUUCGGGUUGUAAACCGCUUUCGCCUGUGACGAAGCGUGAGUGACGGUAAUGGGUAAAGAAGCACCGGCUAACUACGUGCCAGCAGCCGCGGUGAUACGUAGGGUGCGAGCGUUGUCCGGAUUUAUUGGGCGUAAAGGGCUCGUAGGUGGUUGAUCGCGUCGGAAGUGUAAUCUUGGGGCUUAACCCUGAGCGUGCUUUCGAUACGGGUUGACUUGAGGAAGGUAGGGGAGAAUGGAAUUCCUGGUGGAGCGGUGGAAUGCGCAGAUAUCAGGAGGAACACCAGUGGCGAAGGCGGUUCUCUGGGCCUUUCCUGACGCUGAGGAGCGAAAGCGUGGGGAGCGAACAGGCUUAGAUACCCUGGUAGUCCACGCUGUAAACGGUGGGUACUAGGUGUGGGGUCCAUUCCACGGGUUCCGUGCCGUAGCUAACGCUUUAAGUACCCCGCCUGGGGAGUACGGCCGCAAGGCUAAAACUCAAAGGAAUUGACGGGGCCCCGCACAAGCGGCGGAGCAUGCGGAUUAAUUCGAUGCAACGCGUAGAACCUUACCUGGGUUUGACAUGGAUCGGGAGUGCUCAGAGAUGGGUGUGCCUCUUUUGGGGUCGGUUCACAGGUGGUGCAUGGCUGUCGUCAGCUCGUGUCGUGAGAUGUUGGGUUAAGUCCCGCAACGAGCGCAACCCUUGUUCACUGUUGCCAGCACGUUAUGGUGGGGACUCAGUGGAGACCGCCGGGGUCAACUCGGAGGAAGGUGGGGAUGACGUCAAGUCAUCAUGCCCCUUAUGUCCAGGGCUUCACGCAUGCUACAAUGGCUGGUACAGAGAGUGGCGAGCCUGUGAGGGUGAGCGAAUCUCGGAAAGCCGGUCUCAGUUCGGAUUGGGGUCUGCAACUCGACCUCAUGAAGUCGGAGUCGCCAGUAAUCGCAGAUCAGCAACGCUGCGGUGAAUACGUUCCCGGG
Molecule: ribosomal RNA, 1343 nt
Filed under: uncultured bacterium
Lineage: Bacteria
Description: 16S ribosomal RNA
Rfam family: Bacterial small subunit ribosomal RNA
Source: RNAcentral